AGCUGGCGGCGUGCUUAACACAUGCAAGUCGAGCGGAAAGGCCCUUUGGGGUACUCGAGCGGCGAACGGGUGAGUAACACGUGAGUAAUCUGCCCCAUGCUUCGGGAUAGCCAGCCGAAAGGCUGAUUAAUACCGGAUAUGACACUCUCCUGCAUGGGAUGGGUGUGGAAAGUUUUUUCGGCGUGGGAUGUGCUCGCGGCCUAUCAGCUUGUUGGUGGGGUAAUGGCCUACCAAGGCUUCGACGGGUAGCCGGCCUGAGAGGGUGACCGGCCACACUGGGACUGAGACACGGCCCAGACUCCUACGGGAGGCAGCAGUGGGGAAUAUUGGACAAUGGGCGGAAGCCUGAUCCAGCAACGCCGCGUGAGGGAUGACGGCCUUCGGGUUGUAAACCUCUUUCAGCACAGACGAAGCGAGAGUGACGGUAUGUGCAGAAGAAGGACCGGCCAACUACGUGCCAGCAGCCGCGGUAAUACGUAGGGUCCGAGCGUUGUCCGGAAUUAUUGGGCGUAAAGGGCUCGUAGGCGGUUUGUCGCGUCGGGAGUGAAAACCUACAGCUUAACUGUGGGCUUGCUUUCGAUACGGGCAGACUUGAGGCAUGCAGGGGAGAACGGAAUUCCUGGUGUAGCGGUGAAAUGCGCAGAUAUCAGGAGGAACACCGGUGGCGAAGGCGGUUCUCUGGGCAUGUUCUGACGCUGAGGAGCGAAAGUGUGGGGAGCGAACAGGAUUAGAUACCCUGGUAGUCCACACCGUAAACGUUGGGCGCUAGGUGUGGGAUCCAUUCCACGGGUUCCGUGCCGCAGCUAACGCAUUAAGCGCCCGCUGGGAUACGG
Molecule: ribosomal RNA, 833 nt
Filed under: actinobacterium KV-540
Lineage: Bacteria; Bacillati; Actinomycetota; Actinomycetes
Description: bacterial SSU rRNA
Rfam family: Bacterial small subunit ribosomal RNA
Source: RNAcentral